ACUCCUACGGGAGGCAGCAGUGGGGAAUAUUGCACAAUGGGGAAAGCCCAUCGAUGCAGCCAUGCCGCGUGUGUGAAGAAGGCCUUCGGGUUGUAAAGACACUUUCAGUAGGGAGGAAGGUAGUGUAGUUAACACCUGCAUUAUUUGACGUUACCUACAGAAGAAGCACCGGCUAACUCCGUGCCAGCAUCCGCGGUAAUACGGAGGGUGCGAGCGUUAUCCGGAUUUAUUGGGUUUAAAGGGUCCGUAGGCGGAUUAAUAAGUCAGUGGUGAAAUCCCAUCGCUUAACGAUGGAACUGCCAUUGAUACUGUUAGUCUUGAAUGAGGGUGCAGUGGUUGGAAUGUGUAGUGUAGCGGUGAAAUGCAUAGAUAUUACACAGAACACCGAUUGCGAAGGCAGAUCACUAACCCUAAAUUGACGCUGAGGGACGAAAGCGUGGGGAGCGAACAGGAUUAGAUACCCUGGUAGGAUAGCGU
This 477-nucleotide ribosomal RNA is filed under the name uncultured bacterium. Its description in RNAcentral is "bacterial SSU rRNA". It matches the Rfam family "Bacterial small subunit ribosomal RNA", at positions 335 to 800 of the family's 1533-position model. The record is from RNAcentral.